Molecule: ribosomal RNA, 492 nt
Filed under: uncultured bacterium
Lineage: Bacteria
Description: partial 16S ribosomal RNA
Rfam family: Bacterial small subunit ribosomal RNA
Source: RNAcentral
AGUGAACGCUGGCGGUAGGCCUAACACAUGCAAGUCGAACGGCAGCACAGUAAGAGCUUGCUCUUACGGGUGGCGAGUGGCGGACGGGUGAGGAAUACAUCGGAAUCUACUUUUUCGUGGGGGAUAACGUAGGGGAACUUACGCUAAUACCGCAUACGACCUACGGGUGAAAGCAGGGGAUCUUCGGACCUUGCGCGAUUGAAUGAGCCGAUGUCGGAUUAGCUAGUUGGCGGGGUAAAGGCCCACCAAGGCGACGAUCCGUAGCUGGUCUGAGAGGAUGAUCAGCCACACUGGAACUGAGACACGGUCCAGACUCCUACGGGAGGCAGCAGUGGGGAAUAUUGGACAAUGGGCGCAAGCAUGAUCCAGCCAUACCGCGUGGGUGAAGAAGGCCUUCGGGUUGUAAAGACCUUUUGUGGGGAAAGAAAAGCAGCAGGUUAAGACCCCGCUGUUCUGACGGUACCCAAAGAAUAAGCACCGGCUAACUUCGUG